This 477-nucleotide ribosomal RNA is filed under the name uncultured bacterium. RNAcentral describes it as "bacterial SSU rRNA". It matches the Rfam family "Bacterial small subunit ribosomal RNA", at positions 33 to 507 of the family's 1533-position model. The record is from RNAcentral.
ACGCUGGCGGCGUGCUUAAUACAUGCAAGUCAACUUGCUUUUGAUUAGCAAUAGUCAAAAGAGAGUGGCGCACGGGUGAGUAACACGUAGAUAAUCUACCCUCAGGACUGACAUAAUGUAGAGAAAUCUGCACUAAUAUCAGAUGAAACAAAAUCCUGGCAUCAGAGAUUUUGUCAAAGUUUUAACGCCUGAAGAUGAGUCUGCGGUCCAUUAGGUAGUUGGCGGUUUAACAGACCACCAAGCCGACGAUGGAUAGCUGGUCUGAGAGGAUGAUCAGCCACACUGGAACUGAGACACGGUCCAGACUCCUACGGGAGGCAGCAGUAAGGAAUAUUGCUCAAUGGGAGAAAUCCUGAAGCAGCAACGCCGCGUGGAGGAUGAAGGGCUUUCAGCUUGUAAACUCCUGUAAAGAAGGAAAAAAUUCCCAUUAGAUGGGAGAUGAUGGUACUUCUAAAGUAAGCCCCGGCUAACUACGUG